AUUGAACGCUGGCGGCAUGCCUUACACAUGCAAGUCGAACGGCAGCGGGUCCUUCGGGAUGCCGGCGAGUGGCGAACGGGUGAGUAAUGCAUCGGAACGUACCCAGUAGUGGGGGAUAACUUACCGAAAGGUAAGCUAAUACCGCAUACGCACUGAGGUGGAAAGCAGGGGACCGCAAGGCCUUGCGCUAUUGGAGCGGCCGAUGUCGGAUUAGCUAGUUGGUGGGGUAAAGGCCUACCAAGGCGACGAUCCGUAGCGGGUCUGAGAGGAUGAUCCGCCACACUGGAACUGAGACACGGUCCAGACUCCUACGGGAGGCAGCAGUGGGGAAUUUUGGACAAUGGGCGCAAGCCUGAUCCAGCCAUGCCGCGUGAGUGAAGAAGGCCUUCGGGUUGUAAAGCUCUUUCGGCCGGGAAGAAAUCGUGGUGGCGAAUACCUGCCAUGGAUGACGGUACCGGACUAAGAAGCACCGGCUAACUACGUGCCAGCAGCCGCGGUAAUACGUAGGGUGCGAGCGUUAAUCGGAAUUACUGGGCGUAAAGCGUGCGCAGGCGGUUGUGUAAGACAGGCGUGAAAUCCCCGGGCUCAACCUGGGAACUGCGCUUGUGACUGCACGGCUAGAGUACGGCAGAGGGGGGUGGAAUUCCACGU
RNAcentral lists this ribosomal RNA (651 nucleotides) under uncultured Azospira sp. Its description in RNAcentral is "bacterial SSU rRNA". It matches the Rfam family "Bacterial small subunit ribosomal RNA", at positions 28 to 674 of the family's 1533-position model. Lineage: Bacteria; Pseudomonadati; Pseudomonadota; Betaproteobacteria; Rhodocyclales; Rhodocyclaceae. The record is from RNAcentral.